Molecule: ribosomal RNA, 490 nt
Filed under: uncultured bacterium
Lineage: Bacteria
Description: partial 16S ribosomal RNA
Rfam family: Bacterial small subunit ribosomal RNA
Source: RNAcentral
AGUGAACGCUGGCGGCAGGCCUAACACAUGCAAGUCGAACGGUAACAGGAAACAGCUUGCUGUUUCGCUGACGAGUGGCGGACGGGUGAGUAAUGUCUGGGAAACUGCCUGAUGGAGGGGGAGAACUACUGGAAACGGUAGCUAAUACCGCAUAACGUCGCAAGACCAAAGAGGGGGACCUUCGGGCCUCUUGCCAUCGGAUGUGCCCAGAUGGGAUUAGCUAGUAGGUGGGGUAACGGCUCACCUAGGCGACGAUCCCUAGCUGGUCUGAGAGGAUGACCAGCCACACUGGAACUGAGACACGGUCCAGACUCCUACGGGAGGCAGCAGUGGGGAAUAUUGCACAAUGGGCGCAAGCCUGAUGCAGCCAUGCCGCGUGUAUGAAGAAGGCCUUCGGGUUGUAAAGUACUUUCAGCGGGGAGGAAGGGAGUAAAGUUAAUACCUUUGCUCAUUGACGUUACCCGCAGAAGAAGCACCGGCUAACUCCGUG